Mesocricetus auratus (golden hamster) is the source of this 107-nucleotide small nuclear RNA. NCBI's taxonomy places the organism in Eukaryota, Metazoa, Chordata, Mammalia, Rodentia, Cricetidae. The record is from Ensembl.
GUGCUUGCUUUGGAAGGACAUACACUAAAAUUGGAACAAUUCAGAGAAGAUUAGCAUGUCCCCUGUGAAAGGAUGCUAUGUGAAUUCAUGAAGCGUUCCAUAUUUUU